This is a non-coding RNA of Podarcis lilfordi (Lilford's wall lizard), 72 nucleotides long. Lineage: Eukaryota; Metazoa; Chordata; Lepidosauria; Squamata; Lacertidae. The record is from the annotation of a GenBank genome assembly.
GCUGGAAAGCUCAGUCGGUAGGGCAGAAGACUCUUAAUCUCAAGGUUAUAGGUUCAAGCCCCAUAUUGGGCA